Molecule: ribosomal RNA, 393 nt
Filed under: uncultured bacterium
Lineage: Bacteria
Description: partial 16S ribosomal RNA
Rfam family: Bacterial small subunit ribosomal RNA
Source: RNAcentral
AUACGGAGGAUGCAAGCGUUAUCCGGAUUUAUUGGGUUUAAAGGGUGCGUAGGCGGUUUGCUAAGCGGGAGGUGAAAUGCCGGCGCUCAACGUCGGAAGUGCCUCCCGAACUGGUGGACUGGAAUGACUCUGCCGUGGGAGGAAUGUGUAGUGUAGCGGUGAAAUGCUUAGAGAUUACACAGAACACCGAUUGCGAAGGCAUCUCACGAAGGGUUGAUUGACGCUGAGGCACGAAAGCGUGGGGAUCAAACAGGAUUAGAUACCCUGGUAGUCCACGCAGUAAACGAUGAUGGCUAACCGCUGGGCUUAUCAGUUCAGUGGCCAAGCGAAAGCGAUAAGCCAUCCACCUGGGGAGUACGACCGCAAGGUUGAAACUCAAAGGAAUGGACGGGG